GACGAACGCUGGCGGCGUGCUUAACACGUGCAAGUCGAACGGAAAGGCCCUGCUUUUGUGGGGUGCUCGAGUGGCGAACGGGUGAGUAACACGUGAGUAACCUGCCCUUGACUUUGGGAUAACUUCAGGAAACUGGGGCUAAUACCGGAUAGGAGCUCCUGCUGCAUGGUGGGGGUUGGAAAGUUUCGGCGGUUGGGGAUGGACUCGCGGCUUAUCAGCUUGUUGGUGGGGUAGUGGCUUACCAAGGCUUUGACGGGUAGCCGGCCUGAGAGGGUGACCGGCCACAUUGGGACUGAGAGACGGCCCAGACUCCUACGGGAGGCAGCAGUGGGGAAUAUUGCACAAUGGGCGGAAGCCUGAUGCAGCAACGCCGCGUGCGGGAUGACGGCCUUCGGGUUGUAAACCGCUUUCGCCUGUGACGAAGCGUGAGUGACGGUAAUGGGUAAAGAAGCACCGGCUAACUACGUG
RNAcentral lists this ribosomal RNA (468 nucleotides) under uncultured bacterium. RNAcentral's name for it is "partial 16S ribosomal RNA". It matches the Rfam family "Bacterial small subunit ribosomal RNA", at positions 28 to 507 of the family's 1533-position model. The record is from RNAcentral.